GNNGAUUUGNUCAUGGAGGCAACUCUGAACCAGCCUGCCGCGUGCAGGAAGACUGCCCUAUGGGUUGUAAACUGCUUUUAUACAGGAAGAAACAGAACUACGUAGUAGUUCCUUGACGGUACUGUAAGAAUAAGCACCGGCUAACUCCGUGCCAGCAGCCGCGGUAAUACGGAGGGUGCAAGCGUUAUCCGGAAUCAUUGGGUUUAAAGGGUCCGCAGGCGGUCAAUUAAGUCAGAGGUGAAAUCCCAUAGCUUAACUAUGGAACUGCCUUUGAUACUGGUUGACUUGAGUUAUACGGAAGUAGAUAGAAUAAGUAGUGUAGCGGUGAAAUGCAUAGAUAUUACUUAGAAUACCGAUUGCGAAGGCAGUCUACUACGUAUAUACUGACGCUCAUGGACGAAAGCGUGGGGAAGCGAACAGGAUUAGAUUACCUCUGGUAGUCCACGCCGUAAACGAUGGACGUCUAGUUGUUGGGCUUNGNCCUCAGUGCCUAAGCNAAAUUGAUCAGUGUCCCACCUGGGGAGUGCGAUCGCAAUAUUGAUCCUCAAAGGAAUUGAGGGGGGCCCGCACAAGCGGGUGCGAUGCAUGUGGUUUAAUANGAUCAUACGCAACCAACCCUACCAGGGCUUUCAUGUAGAGGCCAGNGGUAUAGAUNCCUUUNUCUUNGGACACNNUNC
Molecule: ribosomal RNA, 677 nt
Filed under: Tenacibaculum sp. UST991130-035
Lineage: Bacteria; Pseudomonadati; Bacteroidota; Flavobacteriia; Flavobacteriales; Flavobacteriaceae
Description: partial 16S ribosomal RNA
Rfam family: Bacterial small subunit ribosomal RNA
Source: RNAcentral